This 251-nucleotide ribosomal RNA is filed under the name uncultured bacterium. RNAcentral describes it as "partial 16S ribosomal RNA". It matches the Rfam family "Bacterial small subunit ribosomal RNA", at positions 524 to 774 of the family's 1533-position model. The record is from RNAcentral.
UACGUAUGGUGCAAGCGUUAUCCGGAUUUACUGGGUGUAAAGGGAGCGCAGGCGGUGCGGCAAGUCUGAUGUGAAAGCCCGGGGCUCAACCCCGGGACUGCAUUGGAAACUACCGAACUAGAGUGUCGGAGAGGUAAGUGGAAUUCCUAGUGUAGCGGUGAAAUGCGUAGAUAUUAGGAGGAACACCAGUGGCGAAGGCGGCUUACUGGACGAUAACUGACGCUGAGGCUCGAAAGCGUGGGGAGCAAACA